Molecule: transfer RNA, 68 nt
Filed under: Trypetoptera punctulata
Lineage: Eukaryota; Metazoa; Arthropoda; Insecta; Diptera; Sciomyzidae
Description: tRNA-Trp
Source: RNAcentral
AAGGCUUUAAGUUAAAUAAACUUAUAGCCUUCAAAGUUAUCAAUAUAAGAACAAUCUUUUAAGCCUUA